GAUGAACGCUAGCUACAGGCUUAACACAUGCAAGUCGAGGGGAAACGACAUCGAAAGCUUGCUUUUGAUGGGCGUCGACCGGCGCACGGGUGAGUAACGCGUAUCCAACCUGCCCAUCACUUGGGAAUAACCUUGCGAAAGUAAGACUAAUACCCAAUGACAUCCCACGAAGACAUCUGAAUGGGAUUAAAGAUUUAUCGGUGAUGGAUGGGGAUGCGUCUGAUUAGCUUGUUGGCGGGGUAACGGCCCACCAAGGCAACGAUCAGUAGGGGUUCUGAGAGGAAGGUCCCCCACAUUGGAACUGAGACACGGUCCAAACUCCUACGGGAGGCAGCAGUGAGGAAUAUUGGUCAAUGGGCGAGAGCCUGAACCAGCCAAGUAGCGUGCAGGAUGACGGCCCUAUGGGUUGCAAACUGCUUUUAUAAGGGAAUAAAGUGGGUCUCGUGAGACUUUUUGCAUGUACCUUAUGAAUAAGGACCGGCUAAUUCCGUG
RNAcentral lists this ribosomal RNA (492 nucleotides) under uncultured bacterium. RNAcentral describes it as "partial 16S ribosomal RNA". It matches the Rfam family "Bacterial small subunit ribosomal RNA", at positions 28 to 507 of the family's 1533-position model. The record is from RNAcentral.